This 105-nucleotide small RNA is filed under the name Klebsiella aerogenes. RNAcentral describes it as "partial RtT sRNA". It matches the Rfam family "RtT RNA", at positions 1 to 103 of the family's 130-position model. From Rfam's summary of the family: This family represents a bacterial cis-regulatory element known as RtT RNA. The exact function of RtT is unknown although it is thought that it may be involved in changing the cellular response in relation to amino acid starvation. The record is from RNAcentral. Lineage: Bacteria; Pseudomonadati; Pseudomonadota; Gammaproteobacteria; Enterobacterales; Enterobacteriaceae.
UAUUCUGCCCUACGGGGAAGGAUGAGAAGCUUCGACUAAGGUUCGACUCGAGCGCCAGCGAGAAAACGUUGCCGCAGGCAACGGCCCGAAGGGCGAGGCGCUUUA